AACGACGUCUCAGUCGCUUUAGGUCUAUAAUUAUCUCUUACCCACCAAAAGAAACUGAAGAACCCAAGAAUCGAAUCAGAAGUGGAAUACACAGGGAAUUUUGGGUUUAGUCACUGUCACUUUUUUCUUUCAAACUCCUUACUGUUGAGGUAGAGGAAAUUUCAAAGCAAAAAAAAAAAAAAAAAAAAAGAAAAGAAAAAAAAUAGAGUAACACUCUUUGAUGCAACUGUAGUGUUACUAUAAAAUACUAUAUAUAUAUCUUUAUAGCAGUUGAAUAGGAGUGAAAAAGUCUUUUGUUCAACAACUGCGAAGACAUUGAGUAGGGAGGUGAGGCGAGGGAGGAGUGAGAGAGAUUUAUUCCUGCUUUUAAGGUAUCGCCGUCUUUGGGUGCGGCGCC
RNAcentral lists this long non-coding RNA (397 nucleotides) under Durio zibethinus. RNAcentral describes it as "long non-coding RNA (DZIB_LNC000869)". The record is from RNAcentral. Lineage: Eukaryota; Viridiplantae; Streptophyta; Magnoliopsida; Malvales; Malvaceae.